Molecule: ribosomal RNA, 724 nt
Filed under: Diplommatina sp. nov. K MS-2010
Lineage: Eukaryota; Metazoa; Mollusca; Gastropoda; Architaenioglossa; Diplommatinidae
Description: eukaryotic LSU rRNA
Rfam family: Eukaryotic large subunit ribosomal RNA
Source: RNAcentral
UGGAUCCGCAAGUCGGCUUGCGAAAUUCAGCUCGGAAAGUAGGCGCGGGUGGCAGGUUGCGAGAUCUUUCAUGGACUUGCCUGCUGUCCGUCCGCCUGUUCGACGUGUGCACUUUUCGCAGGCAGAGCGCCACGACCGGUUCUCGGGCAGUCAGAAGGCGGCAGGGAAGGUAGGUGGGCGUUUCGUGCGUUUGCUGUUAUAGCCCUGCCUGUCCUGAGCUGUUUGAGGACCGAGGAGCCGCCGCCCGGAUCUAAGCUACCCUGCUCUCCUGGGAGGAUUCGACUGGCAGAGACUGGGCAACCGUGUCUGCCGACCGCCUUCCUUGACAGAUCAGGGGUGUACCUGUAGCUGGCCGGGCACAGGGUCGGUGGCGAAUCGGUCGGCACUCCACCCGACCCGUCUUGAAACACGGACCAAGGAGUCUAACAUGCGCGCGAGUCGUUGGGUAGUACGAAACCCGAAGGCGAAGUGAAAGCGAGGGCCGUCCUCGCGACGUGCUCAGGUGGGAUCCCCUUCCGGAGUCUGCCGAGGGGGCGCACCACCGGCCCGUCUCAUUCGCGCUGUCGAGGAGGCGGAGCAAGAGCGUGCACGUUGGGACCCGAAAGAUGGUGAACUAUGCCUGAGUAGGAUGAAGCCAGAGGAAACUCUGGUGGAGGUCCGCAGCGAUUCUGACGUGCAAAUCGAUCGUCAAACUUGGGUAUAGGGGCGAAAGACUAAUCGAACC